GAGCCAUUAGCUCAGCUGGCAGAGCAUCUGACUUUUAAUCAGAGGGUCAGAGGUUCGAAUCCUCUAUGGCUCA
Molecule: transfer RNA, 73 nt
Filed under: Staphylococcus aureus
Lineage: Bacteria; Bacillati; Bacillota; Bacilli; Caryophanales; Staphylococcaceae
Also listed under: 3 other names
Description: tRNA-Lys
Rfam family: tRNA
About the family: Transfer RNA (tRNA) molecules are approximately 80 nucleotides in length. Their secondary structure includes four short double-helical elements and three loops (D, anti-codon, and T loops).
Source: RNAcentral